GCCCUUACAGUUUGAUCCUGGCUCAUAUUGAACGCUGGCGGCAUGCCUAACACAUGCAAGUCGAACGGCAGCACAGUAUGUAGCAAUACAUGUGGGUGGCGAGUGGCGGACGGGUGAGUAAUACGUAGGAAUCUGCCCUAUAGUGGGGGAUAACCCGGGGAAACCCGGGCUAAUACCGCAUAAUCUCUAUGGAGCAAAGCUGGGGACCUUCGGGCCUCGCGCUAUGGGAUGAGCCUACGUCGGAUUAGCUAGUUGGUGGGGUAAAGGCCCACCAAGGCAACGAUCCGUAGCUGGUCUGACAGGACGGCCAGCCACACUGGGACUGAUACACGGCCCAGACUCCUACGGGAGGCAGCAGUGGGGAAUAUUGGACAAUGGGGGCAACCCUGAUCCAGCCAUGCCGCGUGUGUGAAGGAGGCCUUCGGGUUGUAAAGCACUUUUAGUGGGGAAGAAUGGCUCAAGGCUAAUAUCCUUGAGAAGUGACGUUACCCAAAGAAUAAGCACCGGCUAACUGUGUGCCAGCAGCCGCGGUAAUACAGAGGGUGCAAGCGUUAAUCGGAAUUAUUGGGCGUAAAGCGCAUGUAGGUCGAUAUUUAAGUCGGAUGUGAAAGCCCCGGGCUCAACCUGGGAAAGCCAUUCGAUACUGGAUAUCUAGAGUAUGGUAGAGGGAAGUGGAAUUUCCGGUGUAGCGGUGAAAUGAGUAGAUAUCGGAAAGAACACCAGUGGAGAAGCCGGCUUCUUGGAUCAAUACUGACACUAAAGUGUGAAAGCGUGGGGAGCAAACAGGAUUAGAUACCCUGGUAGUCCACGCUGUAAACGAUGAGAUCUAGGCGUUGGGGAGCUUUGUCUCCCUAGUGCCGAAGCUAACGCGUUAAGUUCUCCGCCUGGGGAGUACGGCCGCAAGGCUAAAACUCAAAUGAAUCGACGGGGAAGGGC
Molecule: ribosomal RNA, 936 nt
Filed under: uncultured bacterium
Lineage: Bacteria
Description: bacterial SSU rRNA
Rfam family: Bacterial small subunit ribosomal RNA
Source: RNAcentral